AGACCCCUUCUCCCCCGGGCGGUUUAAGCCGCACCAUGGGGAUCCAGGGCCUGCUCCAGUUCAUCAAGGAGGCUGCUGAGCCUGCUCACGUGAAGAAAUACAAAGGGCAGGCGGUAGCGGUGGACACCUACUGCUGGCUGCACAAGGGCGCCUAUACGUGUGCUGAAAAGCUGGCCCGAGGAGAGCCGACAGAUCUUUAUGUGGCUUUCUGUAUGAAACUUGUUGAUAUGCUCCUCUCAUUUGGAAUUAAACCUAUUUUGGUGUUUGAUGGAUGCACCCUACCUUCGAAGAAGGAAGUGGAAAAGGCCCGACGAGAGAAGCGUCAAGCCAGUCUUCUGAAGGGCAAACAAUUGUUGCAGGAAGGGAGACUGUCGGAAGCUAGGGAGUGUUUUGGGCGCAGUAUAAAUGUUACCCAUUUUAUGGCUCAUGAAGUUAUUAAAGCUGCUCGAGCCCGGGGAGUUGAUUGUAUUGUUGCUCCGUAUGAAGCUGAUGCUCAGUUGGCUUAUCUUAAUAAGAGUGGCAUGGUUCAAGCCAUAAUUACAGAAGACUCUGAUCUUCUAGCUUUUGGGUGUAAAAAGGUGUUUCUGAAAAUUGACAAGUUUGGAAAUGGACUAGAAAUCGAUCAAGCUCGACUAGGAAAUUGCAAGCAGCUUGGAAACGUAUUUACAGAAGAGAAAUUCCGCUACAUGUGUAUUCUUUCUGGUUGUGACUACCUCCCAUCAAUUCAUGGAAUUGGGUUAGGCAAAGCAUGCAAGUUACUAAAAUUAGCCAACAAUCCAGAUAUUACAAAGGUUAUUAAGAAAAUGGGGCAAUACUUGAAGAUGAAUAUAACAGUACCAGAAGAAUACAUACAGGGUUUUAUGCGAGCCAAUAAUACGUUCCUUUAUCAGUUAGUUUUUGAUCCUGUCAACAGAAAAUUAGUUCCUCUGAAUCCAUAUGGGGAUGAUAUUGAUCCAGAAACGCUAAUUUAUGCAGGACGACAUUUUGGUGAUGAUACUGCUUUUCAGAUUGCCGUUGGCAACAUUGAUAUUGAUACAAUGGAACAAAUUGAUAAUUAUAACCCUGACACUGCACAGUCUGUGCAGCAGAGAAGUAGUGGCUGGAAUGACAGAUGUGCUAAUCAUGUAAAUAGCAUUUGGAGCAGAGACUACAAGUUUGGCUGUAAUGCAGAUACCGUUCCUCAUAAAAUACAUUUGCUAGAGAAACCAACAACCAAAGGCAUGGAGAAGAUAAUUAGUGUGAAAGGGCUAAAACUUCCAGGCAAAGAGCUCUUGGCAAAAAGGCUGAGGAGUGAAGAAAUCACGGAUGGAGAUCUGUUGAGCCAAUACUCAUUUUCAACAGCAAAAAAAGUCAAGAAGGAAAGUGAUCAUGACAGUCAAGCCCAGAAGAGUGUCUCAGCAAUACAAAGCCUUGAUUCUUCAGGGGAUUCUGUCACUCAAAGCUCUGACUCCCUGCCCAGAGUUAGAAAUAAAUUUGCUUCCUUUCUACAAAGGAAAAACAAGGAGAAGGAUGCUGUAGUUGUUCCAGGAACAAGAAGCAGGUUUUUCUUCAAUGAUGCAAUUAUCUUUGAUGUUAGAGCAGAGAAGGAUGAUCGUGAUGUAAUUCGAGAUGUUGAACAGGAUUGCCAGGAACAGGAAGUAAAACAUGUAGCAGAUGAUGUUUCUCAGUUUUCAGAAACUGAAAAAUCAACAAGGACUGUCUUUACACCUCCUGGAGAAAUGCAGAAAAACUGCUUUCAGUGGUUGAGCAGCCCUGUAAAUAAUUCAGAAAACCCUGGUCCAUCUCAUACUGUAUGUUCACAGCAGUUUCACCAACAGAGAAGCAACUGUGUGGUAUCCCAGGAAGAUCAGAGUAAUGGGGUACAAGUGGAGAGUGAGGCAGUGUGUGGCAAAUUAGAGGAAGAAUCCUCCACCUUAACAGAACUGGAACAGUCAUCAGAGUCUCAAAGGUCUCGGGAGCCGUCAAAAUGCAGUUUGGAGUCUUCAGAAAGACUGCAAGUCCAACUGAACAACAGUUCAGAUAGAGAAGUAUCUGACUCCAGUUUAAAACUGGCUGAUGAUCAAUGUGCUUGGUCUCCAGUAUUUUCUGCUGUUCAAACUGACAGAAAAAAUACAGUCAUAAAGACGAAGGUUCCUGGCUUACGUAAAUCCAGUUGUAUAGGGUCACAUAUUGUAACAAAGCUCAAGCCAUUGAUACCAGCUAAGGUAAGCGGAUUAAGCAGGAAGCUGUCACCUGUGCAGAAGAGAAAUCACUGCGAUGCUGAAAAUAAGCUGGGACUGCAAGAUGCCAUUAGCGAACUCCGCAAGAACUUCCAGUUUAAAAGAGAGUAUGAAAAACUUCCUUCUUGUAAAAAGUCAGAUCCGUUAUCUCCAAUCAAAGAUAAUAUACAGCUCACUCCAGAAACAGAAGACAUCUUUAAUCAUCUGGAACACAGUCAUGUUCAGAGAGCUAUAUUCCAAUGAACUGCAUGCUGUGCACAAUGGGAUGCAUUUUUAAUCGUUGUCAAAACUUACCUUCUGGAUAUUUCAUCAAUAUAGAAAAGAUGCUUUGAAAACCACCUAUGUAUUUUAGUCUGACUAGUGAUUUAUCAUCUUUUAUAAAAGCUUGAAUAGAAAGCUGCCCCUGGGCACCUUAUGUAGGUCACAGGCAAUCUAGACUUCUACAAUAGCUAUGGCUUUGCCUUUGCACAACAGCAGCAGAGCAGGUUUGUGUCUUAAUUUUUAAUAGUUGAUUUUUAUUUUUUUUUUGCCUUGUCCUUCUUUCUCUUUGGGCCUAAUCUAGCUCCAAGACAGGAGUGAAACUGCUAUUCAGUGUUCAUAACAUCCUUCACUAUACUUCCAGCACUGAUAACUAUUUCUUUUCCCUACAAGGUAAGAUCUGCUCUCUAAACAAUUAGCUGUUUAAUACAGUCAUGUUAUUGGUGGGAAUAACUUGGGGACUGCAGAAAGGAAUAUCACAAAUAUUUGGUCUGCAGAUUCUCUGAAAAAAUACAAUGGUUCCUCUGUUUUGCCUGCUCUUUCCAUCUUUGUAGUCUUAUCCAGUAAUAGACACAAAGUAUCAGUCCUCAGAGCUAAGAGUUACAAAAUAACUUUGUCCUCACAAUAAACCAAGCUUCAGUCUUCAACAGCCAGUCAACUACAGGGAAAGACUAGGGUCCUUGCUUUGGAUGACUGAAUUAUGAAAUAAUGUGAUGGGAUUUCAGAUUUCUACCUUUAAAAUGAGGAUUUGAGUCUAUAUUGACUCAUAUGUCUAUAUGAUAAAUGAUAUAAAUAAAAAAAAUGAUAAAAUCAAGAUAUGUCUAAAUUUUUUCCCCUUUUUUAGGAAAGGAUAGUAUCUCUGCAGCAGAUGAAGGUACAAAAGGAUAUCUUAACCUGUGAAAUGUAUCCUUUCCAUUCCUGAGAGCGCUGAGCUUUAAGCAAAAAAUUAAAGUUGGAAAUCGACUUAUGAGAGGCAGAUUUUUUAACUGCAAUGGACUUGUUUCUCUUAAAUAGAAACUACAGUGACUGGCUGUGUUAAAUUACAAAGAAGCUGCUUACAAGAGUAGGCUGUGUGUACGUUUGUGGGAGCAGUCCCCUUGCCUUCAAACAAAUGUUGAAGUAAUGGGACAUAAAGAACUGAAGCAAUGAUACUCUAGCACAGGCUUUUACUGAAAAGCAGGGGUUUUAACAUUGAUCUUCAGUAAGAGUUAUCAUCUCUGGUAUGAUGUGACAAAGGCCAGGGAUAAAUAUUUCUGUUUCCAGUCAUAGAUUGAUUGCCUAGAAUUAAUUUUUGUGUUGCUACAAACACAAUAAGGACCAAAUGAAGUUUUGAAGAGAAAACAAAAAUAACUAUUGUCCUCCAUUGUUUAUCACUGUGGGAGUUGCAAGGUUAUUUUGUACAUUUCAUCCUUGCCUGUUGUCUGCCUGUUCAGUCAAAAAGCCACUUGUUUCUUGCUUUAGUGGAUCACCAGAAGAAACAAACUAUUGGUGUUUGUAUUUUCAAGGACGGGUAAUUUUAAGGGGAUAUAGGACAUCUUACAUGUAAGCUACAUGUGUGAAAGCAGUACUGCCUCUUCUAAUUCUGUUGCCUGCAAAUACCACCUUACCUGUUCUUGUAGUUCAUUUAUUGAGAAUACUAUCACUUCCUUUACUCUAGCUUCUUUGAAGAGAGAAUCGGGAAAUAAAGCAAGUGUUAUACAUACCUCCAUAGUGACGCUUAUUUUGUCAUAAAUUAGUGCCUUGCUUCUUUUGCUGUAUACUUCUGUAUGAACAGGAGAGUAAAAACGUAGUUGAUG
Falco peregrinus (peregrine falcon) is the source of this 4273-nucleotide RNA transcript. It is a transcript of the gene named exonuclease 1, with no coding region annotated. The transcript has 15 exons. The record is from RefSeq and is a predicted model, not a curated record. Lineage: Eukaryota; Metazoa; Chordata; Aves; Falconiformes; Falconidae.